This 253-nucleotide ribosomal RNA is filed under the name uncultured bacterium. RNAcentral describes it as "partial 16S ribosomal RNA". It matches the Rfam family "Bacterial small subunit ribosomal RNA", at positions 524 to 776 of the family's 1533-position model. The record is from RNAcentral.
UACAGAGGUCCCGAGCGUUGUUCGGAUUCAUUGGGCGUAAAGGGUGCGUAGGCGGCGGGGAAAGUCUGAUGUGAAAUCCUGGGGCUCAACCCUGGAACUGCAUUGGAUACUUCCUUGCUAGAGUACUGGAGAGGAAACUGGAAUUUACGGUGUAGCAGUGAAAUGCGUAGAGAUCGUAAGGAAGACCAGUGGCGAAGGCGGGUCUCUGGACAGUUCCUGACGCUGAUGCGCGAAAGCGUGGGGAGCAAACGGG